This 1211-nucleotide ribosomal RNA is filed under the name Fragilariopsis doliolus. RNAcentral describes it as "SSU rRNA". It matches the Rfam family "Eukaryotic small subunit ribosomal RNA", at positions 567 to 1824 of the family's 1831-position model. The record is from RNAcentral. Lineage: Eukaryota; Bacillariophyta; Bacillariophyceae; Bacillariales; Bacillariaceae.
CCAGCAGCUGCGGUAAUUCCAGCUCCAAUAGCGUAUAUUAAAGUUGUUGCAGUUAAAAAGCUCGUAGUUGGAUUUGUGGUGUGUCCAGUUGGCCUUUGCUCUUUUGAGUGACAGUGCUGUAACUGGUCUGCCAUGUUUGGGUGGAAUCUGUGUGGCAAUAAGUUGUCGUGCAGGGGAUACCCAUUGUUUACUGUGAAAAAAUUAGAGUGUUCAAAGCAGGCUUAUGCCUCUGAAUAUAUUAGCAUGGAAUAAUAAUAUAGGACCUUGGUACUAUUUUGUUGGUUUGCGCACUGAGGUAAUGAUUAAGAGGGACAGUUGGGGGUAUUUGUAUUCCAUUGUCAGAGGUGAAAUUCUUGGAUUUUUGGAAGACAAACUAUUGCAAAAGCAUUUACGAAGGAUGUUUUCAUUAAUCAAGAACAAAAGUUAGGGGAUUGAAGAUGAUUAGAUACCAUCGUAGUCUUGUUUCGUUUUGUCUCCGUCAGCACCUUGUGAGAAAUCAUAAGUCUUUGGGUUCCGGGGGGAGUAUGGUCACAAGGCUGAAACUUAAAGAAAUUGAAGGAAGGGCACCACCAGGAGUGAAGCCUGUGGCUUAAUUUGACUCAACACGGGAAAACUUACCAGGUCCAGACAUAGUGAGGAUUUACAGAUUGAGAGCUCUUUCUUGAUUCUAUGGGUGGUGGUGCAUGGCCGUUCUUAGUUGGUGGAGUGAUUUGUCUGGUUAAUUCCGUUAACGAACAAGACCCCUGUCUGCUAAAUAGCAGAUAUAGUGUUUAUCACUGUAUUUCUGCUUCUUAGAGGGACGUGCGUUCUAUUAGACACAGGAAGAUAGGGGCAAUAACAGGUCUGUGAUGCCCUNUAGAUGUUCUGGNGCCGCACGCGCGCUACACUGAUGCAUUCAACGANGUUCUUACCUNUGGCCGANGAGGCCUGGGCAAUCUUUNUGAACUUGCAUUGUGAUAGGGAUAGAUUAUUGCAAUUAUUAAUCUUGAACGAGGAAUUCCUAGUAAACGCAGAUCAUCAAUCUGCAUUGAUUACGUCCCUGCCCUUUGUACACACCGCCCAUUGCACCUACCGAUUGAAUGGUCCGGUGAAGCCUCUGGAUUGUGGUUAGUUUCCUUCAUUGGAAGUUACUCGCGAGAACUUGUCUAAACCUUAUCAUUUAGAGGAAGGUGAAGUUGUAACAGGGUUUCCGUAGGUGAACCUGCGGAAGG